RNAcentral lists this ribosomal RNA (3026 nucleotides) under Salmonella enterica subsp. enterica serovar Concord. Its description in RNAcentral is "bacterial LSU rRNA". It matches the Rfam family "Bacterial large subunit ribosomal RNA". The record is from RNAcentral. Lineage: Bacteria; Pseudomonadati; Pseudomonadota; Gammaproteobacteria; Enterobacterales; Enterobacteriaceae.
GGGUUGUGAGGUUAAGCGACUAAGCGUACACGGUGGAUGCCCUGGCAGUCAGAGGCGAUGAAGGGCGUGCUAAUCUGCGAUAAGCGCCGGUAAGGUGAUAUGAACCGUUAUAACCGGCGAUACCCGAAUGGGGAAACCCAGUGUGACUCGUCACACUAUCAUUAACUGAAUCCAUAGGUUAAUGAGGCGAACCGGGGGAACUGAAACAUCUAAGUACCCCGAGGAAAAGAAAUCAACCGAGAUUCCCCCAGUAGCGGCGAGCGAACGGGGAGGAGCCCAGAGCCUGAAUCAGCAUGUGUGUUAGUGGAAGCGUCUGGAAAGGCGCGCGAUACAGGGUGACAGCCCCGUACACAAAAGCGCAUGUGCUGUGAGCUCGAUGAGUAGGGCGGGACACGUGGUAUCCUGUCUGAAUAUGGGGGGACCAUCCUCCAAGGCUAAAUACUCCUGACUGACCGAUAGUGAACCAGUACCGUGAGGGAAAGGCGAAAAGAACCCCGGCGAGGGGAGUGAAAAAGAACCUGAAACCGUGUACGUACAAGCAGUGGGAGCCCCACCACCAAAGCAUUCUCUGGUGUUGAAGGCCCUGCAAAGCAGCAUCGCGGUGGCGGAGCGUCGUUUGCGACGCCCAACACACAAAACAAGCGGUGAGUGCUUUGGGGUGGGGUGACUGCGUACCUUUUGUAUAAUGGGUCAGCGACUUAUAUUCUGUAGCAAGGUUAACCGAAUAGGGGAGCCGGAGGGAAACCGAGUCUUAAUUGGGCGUUAAGUUGCAGGGUAUAGACCCGAAACCCGGUGAUCUAGCCAUGGGCAGGUUGAAGGUUGGGUAACACUAACUGGAGGACCGAACCGACUAAUGUUGAAAAAUUAGCGGAUGACCUGUGGCUGGGGGUGAAAGGCCAAUCAAACCGGGAGAUAGCUGGUUCUCCCCGAAAGCUAUUUAGGUAGCGCCUCGUGAACUCAUCUCCGGGGGUAGAGCACUGUUUCGGCUAGGGGGCCAUCCCGGCUUACCAACCCGAUGCAAACUGCGAAUACCGGAGAAUGUUAUCACGGGAGACACACGGCGGGUGCUAACGUCCGUCGUGAAGAGGGAAACAACCCAGACCGCCAGCUAAGGUCCCAAAGUCAUGGUUAAGUGGGAAACGAUGUGGGAAGGCCCAGACAGCCAGGAUGUUGGCUUAGAAGCAGCCAUCAUUUAAAGAAAGCGUAAUAGCUCACUGGUCGAGUCGGCCUGCGCGGAAGAUGUAACGGGGCUAAACCAUGCACCGAAGCUGCGGCAGCGACACUGUGUGUUGUUGGGUAGGGGAGCGUUCUGUAAGCCUGUGAAGGUGGCCUGUGAGGGUUGCUGGAGGUAUCAGAAGUGCGAAUGCUGACAUAAGUAACGAUAAAGCGGGUGAAAAGCCCGCUCGCCGGAAGACCAAGGGUUCCUGUCCAACGUUAAUCGGGGCAGGGUGAGUCGACCCCUAAGGCGAGGCCGAAAGGCGUAGUCGAUGGGAAACGGGUUAAUAUUCCCGUACUUGGUGUUACUGCGAAGGGGGGACGGAGAAGGCUAUGUUGGCCGGGCGACGGUUGUCCCGGUUUAAGCGUGUAGGCUGGUUUUCCAGGCAAAUCCGGAAAAUCAAGGCUGAGGCGUGACGACGAGGCACUACGGUGCUGAAGCAACAAAUGCCCUGCUUCCAGGAAAAGCCUCUAAGCAUCAGGUAACAUCAAAUCGUACCCCAAACCGACACAGGUGGUCAGGUAGAGAAUACCAAGGCGCUUGAGAGAACUCGGGUGAAGGAACUAGGCAAAAUGGUGCCGUAACUUCGGGAGAAGGCACGCUGACAUGUAGGUGAAGUGAUUUACUCAUGGAGCUGAAGUCAGUCGAAGAUACCAGCUGGCUGCAACUGUUUAUUAAAAACACAGCACUGUGCAAACACGAAAGUGGACGUAUACGGUGUGACGCCUGCCCGGUGCCGGAAGGUUAAUUGAUGGGGUCAGCGCAAGCGAAGCUCCUGAUCGAAGCCCCGGUAAACGGCGGCCGUAACUAUAACGGUCCUAAGGUAGCGAAAUUCCUUGUCGGGUAAGUUCCGACCUGCACGAAUGGCGUAAUGAUGGCCAGGCUGUCUCCACCCGAGACUCAGUGAAAUUGAACUCGCUGUGAAGAUGCAGUGUACCCGCGGCAAGACGGAAAGACCCCGUGAACCUUUACUAUAGCUUGACACUGAACAUUGAGCCUUGAUGUGUAGGAUAGGUGGGAGGCUUUGAAGCGUGGACGCCAGUCUGCGUGGAGCCGACCUUGAAAUACCACCCUUUAAUGUUUGAUGUUCUAACGUGGACCCGUAAUCCGGGUUGCGGACAGUGUCUGGUGGGUAGUUUGACUGGGGCGGUCUCCUCCUAAAGAGUAACGGAGGAGCACGAAGGUUGGCUAAUCCUGGUCGGACAUCAGGAGGUUAGUGCAAUGGCAUAAGCCAGCUUGACUGCGAGCGUGACGGCGCGAGCAGGUGCGAAAGCAGGUCAUAGUGAUCCGGUGGUUCUGAAUGGAAGGGCCAUCGCUCAACGGAUAAAAGGUACUCCGGGGAUAACAGGCUGAUACCGCCCAAGAGUUCAUAUCGACGGCGGUGUUUGGCACCUCGAUGUCGGCUCAUCACAUCCUGGGGCUGAAGUAGGUCCCAAGGGUAUGGCUGUUCGCCAUUUAAAGUGGUACGCGAGCUGGGUUUAGAACGUCGUGAGACAGUUCGGUCCCUAUCUGCCGUGGGCGCUGGAGAACUGAGGGGGGCUGCUCCUAGUACGAGAGGACCGGAGUGGACGCAUCACUGGUGUUCGGGUUGUCAUGCCAAUGGCACUGCCCGGUAGCUAAAUGCGGAAGAGAUAAGUGCUGAAAGCAUCUAAGCACGAAACUUGCCCCGAGAUGAGUUCUCCCUGAGACUUAAAGUCUCCUGAAGGAACGUUGAAGACGACGACGUUGAUAGGCCGGGUGUGUAAGCGCAGCGAUGCGUUGAGCUAACCGGUACUAAUGAACCGUGAGGCUUAACCUUACAACGCCGAAG